This is a long non-coding RNA of Gallus gallus (chicken), 2112 nucleotides long. The record is from Ensembl. NCBI's taxonomy places the organism in Eukaryota, Metazoa, Chordata, Aves, Galliformes, Phasianidae.
AAGGGUUGGCAGUGGAGGUAAGGGUUUCUUACUGAAGAUCCCUGUGUACCUGAGGCCUUCUGAAGUUUUCACAGAGUGCCUCUUUCAGAGACAUGAGAUGAAUUUGCCACAGAACAAUGAGCUGGAGUCAACGUCAUUCAGGAACAGUUAUGACCUGCAUUCAAAUACACGCUCUUCCAACAAGUACCUAUAGCCUCUGGCAUCUAGCCAUCACCAUCUUAAUUGGCAGCACCAGGAACAGCAACAGAGAAUAUGCUACAGAAGGUCAUAAUUGGUGAGAUCUUCCUCAACCAACUUCAGGCACUGAAUCCAAACCGUGAGCUGUUUCUGCAGGAAACACAGAGUGCCUCUGGCAGAGGGGUCUGUGUCACCCUAAAGCAAAUAAGGUCUUCUGAAGAAUCUUUAACAGAUGAAGGACAUAACCAGCAAACCCAAGUCUGUCUUUCAGAGGAGAAGUGCAAUGAAUCCCCCUGAAAGAGAGCCAAAGGAACUUAACACAGCACAAAUACUUUUUAGACCUUUGCUAAAUUGUGAAAUGAUGAUGAUAGUAACAACCAAACUCAUCACCUCUUUAAUGUUAUUCCAUUAACUUUGUUAUUUCUAUAUUUAAAUGUAUCUUCAUAUACUUUACACAUUUAUUAGAAAUUGUAUGGCAUAUUUUUAAAGCUUUUCUUCUGUGACUGAAACGGAGCAGAUAAAUUGAUGUGAAUUAUUUUAAUACCAUGCAUUUCAAUGGCACCAUUCCACUGAACUUUCUGCCCUAUUACCCUUAAGUUACAGUUUCAGGACAGGUUAUUAAGAUUCCAUUUUCUAUUUCAAAAACUUGAAAUAAAUAAGUGUAUAUUUUCCCGUGUGCUACGUGGUAGCAUUAUAAAGAGAUUCCGGACAGGUCUUAUCUAGAGCAAGGUUCAUUUAUAAUAGCAACUGUACUUCUUUAUGGCUUACCUUGGAAUGAAACCAUACUUGAAACCAUACUGACUGAUUAUUUUUUACAAAUUCCAAAAUCAGAGCAGAUAUACUAUUUGCUUUCUUGCACCUUACUGUUAUCUUACUGUUAUGCAUGUGGAUGUGAAACACUGCGGUAUAACAUGGCAGGACACUCAGUUCUCUCUUCAGCUGUUCUGCUGAGAAAAAUGAUGCUACAGGAAGGGAGCAAAGCAGUCCCAACAAACACAGAACAUGAGCCACUGGAGGGCCCAGAAAAGCUGAAGAUCCACCUCUGCGUUUUCCACAUCUGCACUUUAGAAUCCAUACCUCUAUUGAUACUCAGGUUCUACCUCUCUUCCUGAAAAUCAAUCUGUUCCUUCAAGUUGAUAAAGAGUUAAUAAAACACUCCAGCAUUUCUCACUUGAAUGGCUUUUACAGACUAAAUAAAAAUAUUCUGUGUACAGCAACUGAAAAAGCCAAAUUAAUUCAGCAUAUCUCACCAGUGAAAUUAAUGGUAUUGCAACAGAAAUUAAUUUUUCAACUCAUUAGGGUAAUGUGAAUGUGUCAACUCUCACUGAUUCAAUGACUACUAGGGAGUGAGGCCACAUUUAAAGAAGUGAAAUCAUUACCAACGUUCUCCUUAAUACUUACUGUGGAGCUUUUACUUAUUUCCAGUUACAAUUUUUGCAGUCUCAAACAAAGCAAUACUAACAAGUUUUGGAGUUGUAAACAUAUUCUGCAAUGAAUAUUCAAUGGAAGUAAAAAUUGGACCUUGUACCCUGGAGAGAUAUGGUGAGAGGAUUUGAUUUCAGGACUUGUGACGAGAAAGGGAACAGAUUCAUGAUGCGGGACAUCCAUGGAGCUGGUCCUGGUUUAAGUACAGCUCAUGUUCUUCAGCACAUUCAAAUGAGAGCAGGUAAAUUCCCCUAGAAGUGUUUCAACAUGUCAGUCCUCCCUUCCAUAAUGGAAAUUCCAGUAUCAAUGAUAAGAGUGUAAACUGGUAUUAGCAGCACAGAGGUCAAGAGAGCUAGGUUUAAACACUGUGAUAAAAACUUGAACAUGGAAGUGUUUGACAUGGCAAAAUUAUGGGUCAGAUUUUGACCUUAGUCAUUGGGAUGUAUUUCUGAUUUAAUCAUAUACUUCAAGAUUGAUUUUCUAAAGGCAUUCUUUGAAAUUUGAAGACAG